Molecule: long non-coding RNA, 918 nt
Organism: Nilaparvata lugens (brown planthopper)
Lineage: Eukaryota; Metazoa; Arthropoda; Insecta; Hemiptera; Delphacidae
Exons: 4
Source: RefSeq, a predicted model, not a curated record
UGUUUUCCAUCACGAACUGCUUAUUAUUAAAUCCCUUUUUUCUUUUAGAAAAAAACGACUAGCAGUCAGAUAUUUUUACAAUAAAUGAAUAAAUCACUCACUGGACAACGAGAUCUUUCGGCAGUUCCGCCAUAUUCUUGGUUGUCUUCUAUUGCUAUACUUUUUAGUACGGUAUAUUGUCUGAGUCUCUCCCCCUCCUACAAGCUCCUUCUUUUGUAAUAGUAUGUAGGCCUAACUUUCACCAUUGUCCACGGCCGUGCUCUCUCUCUCGAAACUCACUCCUUCCUUGUCGAAGUAUUUUCGCGCCUUUUUGAGUUGCGUUUGCCUUUUGCUAUAUAGUUAUUGGACUUGAUCUUCUUGUCUAAUGCAGUCGCAAGCUUGCAAGGGUUAGUUUCAGUUCAUCACGUAUUGAAUACAGAGUACAUUUCCUGUUUCCAGUGUUUUAUCCAGGCAUUUAUUUGUUUUGAAGUCACGUGAUCUUCUAUCAUCAAUGAGACGUAUGUCGCGUCAUGCGCCGAUAAAGCUUCGGAAGGGCGCACAAUCAUGAGUAUCAUGGGGAAGCUGGUGACCCUUCCUCACCAUCCAAAGCAAGGACGACCAUAAGAGAGAGAAAAACCUUUCAAGGACCUUCUGAUAACUGAAGUUAUGAUUGCAGCUGCUACAAACCGGUGCUGGCCGAAGGCAGAAUUGAAGCAGGUCUAGUUGAAAGCGGCUACGUGGCUUGCACAAGCCCAAUCCAAGUUGGACAAAAUGAAUCAGCCAUCAACACCAGCUACAAUAACAAUAUUCGACAUCGAUUGUGAAGAUGAACCUCUCGAAUAGAUAAGAAUAUAAUAGUAGUGACAGAAAAGAUCAUAAAACGUGUCUACAUGUUCAAUUUACUGAUAUCAUAAACAAUAAAUUAGUAAUUGAUUAUAA